Molecule: small RNA, 1708 nt
Filed under: Pan troglodytes (chimpanzee)
Lineage: Eukaryota; Metazoa; Chordata; Mammalia; Primates; Hominidae
Description: retained intron
Source: RNAcentral
AAAGUUUGGCACCCAUGGCGUGGCGGUGCCCCAGGAUGGGCAGGGUCCCGCUGGCCUGGUGCUUGGCGCUGUGCGGCUGGGCGUGCAUGGCCCCCGGGGGCACGCGGGCUGAAGAAAGUCCCUUCGUGGGCAACCCAGGGAAUAUCACAGGUGCCCGGGGACUCACGGGCACCCUUCGGUGUCAGCUCCAGGUUCAGGGAGAGCCCCCCGAGGUACACUGGCUUCGGGACGGACAGAUCCUGGAGCUCGCGGACAGCACCCAGACCCAGGUGCCCCUGGGUGAGGAUGAACAGGAUGACUGGAUAGUGGUCAGCCAGCUCAGAAUCACCUCCCUGCAGCUUUCCGACACGGGACAGUACCAGUGUUUGGUGUUUCUGGGACAUCAGACCUUCGUGUCCCAGCCUGGCUACGUUGGGCUGGAGGGCUUGCCUUACUUCCUGGAGGAGCCCGAGGACAGGACUGUGGCCGCCAACACCCCCUUCAAUCUGAGCUGCCAAGCCCAGGGACCCCCAGAGCCCGUGGACCUACUCUGGCUCCUGGAUGCUGUCCCCCUGGCCACGGCUCCAGGUCACGGCCCCCAGCGCAGCCUGCAUGUUCCAGGGCUGAACAAGACAUCCUCUUUCUCCUGCGAAGCCCAUAACGCCAAGGGGGUCACCACAUCCCGCACAGCCACCAUCACAGUGCUCCCCCAGCAGCCCCGUAACCUCCACCUGGUCUCCCGCCAACCCACGGAGCUGGAGGUGGCUUGGACUCCAGGCCUGAGCGGCAUCUACCCCCUGACCCACUGCACCCUGCAGGCUGUGCUGUCAGACGAUGGGAUGGGCAUCCAGGCGGGAGAACCAGACCCCCCAGAGGAGCCCCUCACCUCGCAAGCAUCCGUGCCCCCCCAUCAGCUUCGGCUAGGCAGCCUCCAUCCUCACACCCCUUAUCACAUCCGCGUGGCAUGCACCAGCAGCCAGGGCCCCUCAUCCUGGACCCACUGGCUUCCUGUGGAGACGCCGGAGGGAGUGCCCCUGGGCCCCCCUGAGAACAUUAGUGCUACGCGGAAUGGGAGCCAGGCCUUCGUGCAUUGGCAGGAGCCCCGGGCGCCCCUGCAGGGUACCCUGUUAGGGUACCGGCUGGCGUAUCAAGGCCAGGACACCCCAGAGGUGCUAAUGGACAUAGGGCUAAGGCAAGAGGUGACCCUGGAGCUGCAGGGGGACGGGUCUGUGUCCAAUCUGACAGUGUGUGUGGCAGCCUACACUGCUGCUGGAGAUGGACCCUGGAGCCUCCCAGUACCCCUGGAGGCCUGGCGCCCAGGGCAAGCACAGCCAGUCCACCAGCUGGUGAAGGAACCUUCAACUCCUGCCUUCUCGUGGCCCUGGUGGUAUGUACUGCUAGGAGCAGUCGUGGCUGCUGCCUGUGUCCUCAUCUUGGCUCUCUUCCUUGUCCACCGGCGAAAGAAGGAGACCCGUUAUGGAGAAGUGUUUGAACCAACAGUGGAAAGAGGUGAACUGGUAGUCAGGUACCGCGUGCGCAAGUCCUACAGUCGUCGGACCACUGAAGCUACCUGUAAGUGAACCCUAUGCCCCACUGCCCUGGCCUGGAUCUAAAGGCUGUAGAGAAUCUGGCCUGCUGGGCUUCUGUAUAUGUGUGAGCCAAAAGUUUCUAAAGGCCUUGGGAUACUAGAAUGUCAGAACCACAGACCCUAGAAAUAACAGAUUUGUGG